CCUACGGGAGGCAGCAGUGAGGAAUCUUCGUCAAUGGGCGCGAGCCUGAACCAGCCAAGCCGCGUGAGGGAUGAAGGUUCUAUGGACCGUAAACCUCUUUUAUAAGGGAAUAAAGUGUGGGACGUGUCUUAUUUUGUAUGUACCUUAUGAAUAAGGAUCGGCUAACUCCGUGCCAGCAGCCGCGGUAAUACGGAGGAUCCGAGCGUUAUCCGGAUUUAUUGGGUUUAAAGGGUGCGUAGGCGGCCUUUUAAGUUAGCGGUGAAAGUCUGUGGCUCAACCAUAGAAUUGCCGUUGAAACUGGGGGGCUUGAGUAUGUUUGAGGCAGGCGGAAUGCGUGGUGUAGCGGUGAAAUGCUUAGAUAUAACGCAGAACCCCGGUUGCGAAGGCAGCCUGCCGAGCCAUGACUGACGCUGAUGCACGAAAGCGUGGGGAUCAAACAGGAUUAGAUACCCGAGUAGUC
RNAcentral lists this ribosomal RNA (460 nucleotides) under uncultured bacterium. RNAcentral describes it as "partial 16S ribosomal RNA". It matches the Rfam family "Bacterial small subunit ribosomal RNA", at positions 338 to 795 of the family's 1533-position model. The record is from RNAcentral.